GCUCUGGAAAGUGCGGCCAUAGUGGGUGAUAGCCCCGUACGCGAAAGGAUCUUUGAAGUGAAAUCGAGUAGGACGGAGCACGAGAAACUUUGUCUGAACAUGGGGGGACCAUCCUCCAAGGCUAAAUACUACUGACUGACCGAUAGUGAACCAGUACCGUGAGGGAAAGGCGAAAAGAACCCCGGAGAGGGGAGUGAAAUAGAACCUGAAACCGUAUGCGUACAAGCAGUGGGAGCCUACUUGUUAGGUGACUGCGUACCUUUUGUAUAAUGGGUCAGCGACUUAUAUUCAGUGGCAAGCUUAACCGUAUAGGGUAGGCGUAGCGAAAGCGAGUCUUAAUAGGGCGUUUAGUCGCUGGGUAUAGACCCGAAACCGGGCGAUCUAUCCAUGAGCAGGUUGAAGGUUAGGUAACACUGACUGGAGGACCGAACCCACUCCCGUUGAAAAGGUAGGGGAUGACUUGUGGAUCGGAGUGAAAGGCUAAUCAAGCUCGGAGAUAGCUGGUUCUCCUCGAAAGCUAUUUAGGUAGCGCCUCAUGUAUCACUCUGGGGGGUAGAGCACUGUUUCGGCUAGGGGGUCAUCCCGACUUACCAAACCGAUGCAAACUCCGAAUACCCAGAAGUGCCGAGCAUGGGAGACACACGGCGGGUGCUAACGUCCGUCGUGAAAAGGGAAACAACCCAGACCGCCAGCUAAGGUCCCAAAGUUGUGGUUAAGUGGUAAACGAUGUGGGAAGGCUUAGACAGCUAGGAGGUUGGCUUAGAAGCAGCCACCCUUUAAAGAAAGCGUAAUAGCUCACUAGUCGAGUCGGCCUGCGCGGAAGAUGUAACGGGGCUCAAACCACACACCGAAGCUGCGGGUGUCACGUAAGUGACGCGGUAGAGGAGCGUUCUGUAAGCCUGUGAAGGUGAGUUGAGAAGCUUGCUGGAGGUAUCAGAAGUGCGAAUGCUGACAUGAGUAACGACAAUGGGUGUGAAAAACACCCACGCCGAAAGACCAAGGGUUCCUGCGCAACGUUAAUCGACGCAGGGUUAGUCGGUUCCUAAGGCGAGGCUGAAAAGCGUAGUCGAUGGGAAACAGGUUAAUAUUCCUGUACUUCUGGUUACUGCGAUGGAGGGACGGAGAAGGCUAGGCCAGCUUGGCGUUGGUUGUCCAAGUUUAAGGUGGUAGGCUGAAAUCUUAGGUAAAUCCGGGGUUUCAAGGCCGAGAGCUGAUGACGAGUCGUCUUUUAGAUGACGAAGUGGUUGAUGCCAUGCUUCCAAGAAAAGCUUCUAAGCUUCAGGUAACCAGGAACCGUACCCCAAACCGACACAGGUGGUCGGGUAGAGAAUACCAAGGCGCUUGAGAGAACUCGGGUGAAGGAACUAGGCAAAAUGGCACCGUAACUUCGGGAGAAGGUGCGCCGGCUAGGGUGAAGGAUUUACUCCGUAAGCUCUGGCUGGUCGAAGAUACCAGGCCGCUGCGACUGUUUAUUAAAAACACAGCACUCUGCAAACACGAAAGUGGACGUAUAGGGUGUGACGCCUGCCCGGUGCCGGAAGGUUAAUUGAUGGGGUUAGCGCAAGCGAAGCUCUUGAUCGAAGCCCCGGUAAACGGCGGCCGUAACUAUAACGGUCCUAAGGUAGCGAAAUUCCUUGUCGGGUAAGUUCCGACCUGCACGAAUGGCGUAACGAUGGCGGCGCUGUCUCCACCCGAGACUCAGUGAAAUUGAAAUCGCUGUGAAGAUGCAGUGUAUCCGCGGCUAGACGGAAAGACCCCGUGAACCUUUACUGUAGCUUUGCACUGGACUUUGAGCCUGCUUGUGUAGGAUAGGUGGGAGGCUUUGAAGCGUGGACGCCAGUUCGCGUGGAGCCAUCCUUGAAAUACCACCCUGGCAUGCUUGAGGUUCUAACUCUGGUCCGUGAUCCGGAUCGAGGACAGUGUAUGGUGGGCAGUUUGACUGGGGCGGUCUCCUCCUAAAGAGUAACGGAGGAGUACGAAGGUGCGCUCAGACCGGUCGGAAAUCGGUCGCAGAGUAUAAAGGCAAAAGCGCGCUUGACUGCGAGACAGACACGUCGAGCAGGUACGAAAGUAGGUCUUAGUGAUCCGGUGGUUCUGUAUGGAAGGGCCAUCGCUCAACGGAUAAAAGGUACUCCGGGGAUAACAGGCUGAUACCGCCCAAGAGUUCAUAUCGACGGCGGUGUUUGGCACCUCGAUGUCGGCUCAUCACAUCCUGGGGCUGAAGCCGGUCCCAAGGGUAUGGCUGUUCGCCAUUUAAAGUGGUACGCGAGCUGGGUUUAGAACGUCGUGAGACAGUUCGGUCCCUAUCUGCCGUGGACGUUUGAGAUUUGAGAGGGGCUGCUCCUAGUACGAGAGGACCGGAGUGGACGAACCUCUGGUGUUCCGGUUGUCACGCCAGUGGCAUUGCCGGGUAGCUAUGUUCGGAAAAGAUAACCGCUGAAAGCAUCUAAGCGGGAAACUUGCCUCAAGAUGAGAUCUCACUGGGAACUUGAUUCCCCUGAAGGGCCGUCGAAGACUACGACGUUGAUAGGCUGGGUGUGUAAGCGUUGUGAGGCGUUGAGCUAACCAGUACUAAUUGCCCGUGAGGCUUGACCA
This 2595-nucleotide ribosomal RNA is filed under the name Pseudomonas aeruginosa. Its description in RNAcentral is "partial 23S ribosomal RNA". It matches the Rfam family "Bacterial large subunit ribosomal RNA", at positions 339 to 2925 of the family's 2925-position model. Lineage: Bacteria; Pseudomonadati; Pseudomonadota; Gammaproteobacteria; Pseudomonadales; Pseudomonadaceae. The record is from RNAcentral.